GUUUUUUGGUCAAGCUACUAAGGGCAGACGGAGGAUGCCUGGGUACCGGGAGGCGAAGAAGGACGCGGUAAGCUGCGAUAAGCUUCGGGGAGCUGCUAACAGGCUUUGAACCGGAGAUUUCCGAAUGGGGAAACCCGGCCAGGGUUAUACCUGGUCAUCGUGCACUGAAUACAUAGGUGUAACGAGGCGAACGCAGGGAAUUGAAACAUCUAAGUACCUGCAGGAGUAGAAAUCAAUUUAGAGAUUCCGUCAGUAGCGGCGAGCGAACGCGGAACAGCCCAAACCGAGUCAUUUAUGGCUCGGGGUUGUGGGGCCCCGAUAUGGGAUUGCGAAUGGAUAGCAGAAGGGCAUGGAAAGGCCCACCACAGACGGUGAUAGUCCGGUAUGCGAAAUCUUGAAGCACCCUAGGGUGUCCCCGAGUACCACGAGGCACGUGAAACCUAGUGGGAAUCUGGGAGGACCAUCUUCCAAGGCUAAAUACUACCCGGUGACCGAUAGUGAACUAGUACCGUGAGGGAAAGGUGAAAAGAACGGGGGGACCCGAGUGAAAUAGAACCUGAAACCGUCUGUCUACAAGCAGUGGAAGCACGAUGUCGCAAGACCGUGUAACCGCGUGCCUUUUGCAUAAUGAGUCAGCGACUUAUCCUAUGCAGCGAGGUUAAGCCGAAAGGUGUAGCCGUAGCGAAAGCGAGUCUUAAUAGGGCGACAAGUUGCAUGGGGUAGACCCGAAGCCGGGUGAUCUAUCCAUGACCAGGGUGAAGCGAAGGUAAUACUUCGUGGAGGCCCGAACCGAUAUAGGUUGAAAACUGUUCGGAUGAGUUGUGGCUAGGAGUGAAAGGCUAAUCAAACUCGGUGAUAGCUGGUUUUCCUCGAAAUAUAUUUAGGUAUAGCCUCGCAUGAUGACUGACGGAGGUAGAGCACUGACAAGACUAGGGGUCCCCACAGGAUUACCAACUCUUAUCAAACUCCGAAUGCCGUCAAGUUCAAGUGCGGGAGUCAGACUGCGGGAGAUAAGUUCCGUGGUCAAAAGGGAAAGAGCCCAGACCAUCAGCUAAGGUCCCUAAAUGCAUGCUAAGUGGUAAAGGAUGUGGAACUGUUUAGACAAUCAGGAGGUUGGCUUAGAAGCAGCAAUCCUUUAAAGAAAGCGUAAUAGCUCACUGAUCGAAUGGGUCUGCGCCGAAAAUUUAACGGGGCUUAAGCAUGCUACCGAAGCUAUGGAUAACGCGCAAGCGUUAUGGUAGAGGAACAUUGUAGUAACCUGAGAAGGUACACCGUAAGGAGUGCUGGAGGACCUACAAGAGCUUAUGCUGACACGAGUAGCGAAAAUGCGGGUGAGAAACCCGCACGCCGAAAACCUAAGGUUUCCUGAGUAAAGUUAAUCUGCUCAGGGUUAGUCGGUCCCUAAGGCGAGGCCGAGAGGCGUAGUCGAUGGAAAACGGGUUAAUAUUCCCGUACCAUUUUAUCAGCGUUUGAGCGAAGGGGGGACGCAGAAGGGUAGGUCAUCCGGGCGUUGGUUGUCCCGGUUUAAAUGUGUAGGCGGGGGACCCAGGCAAAUCCAGGUCCCUGUAUAACGCUGAGGCAUGAUGACGAUGCGGCUUGCCGCAAUAAAGUGAUUGAUCCCAUGCUGCCAGGAAAAGCCUCGUAGUGAGUUGAUAAAGUGACCGUACCGUAAACCGACACAGGUAGGUAGGGAGAGUAUCCUAAGGCGCUUGAGAGAACUCUGGUUAAGGAACUCGGCAAAAUAACACCGUAACUUCGGGAGAAGGUGUGCCCUCGUAGCGUGAAGUGACUUGCUCAUGGAGCGUAAGGGGGUUGCAGUGAAAUGGGGGGAGCGACUGUUUACUAAAAACACAGGACUCUGCGAAGUCGAAAGACGCAGUAUAGGGUCUGACGCCUGCCCGGUGCCGGAAGGUUAAGGGGACUUGUUAGCGCAAGCGAAGCAACGAACUGAAGCCCCGGUAAACGGCGGCCGUAACUAUAACGGUCCUAAGGUAGCGAAAUUCCUUGUCGGGUAAGUUCCGACCUGCACGAAUGGCGUAACGAUUUCCCCACUGUCUCAACCAGGGACUCAGCGAAACUGUAUUACCGGUGAAGAUGCCGGUUACCCGCAUCAAGACAGAAAGACCCCGUGCACCUUUACUAUAGCUUGGCAUUGGAGUUUGGAAUAAUUUGUGUAGGAUAGGUGGGAGACUGUGAAGCAGGGACGCUAGUUCUUGCGGAGUCAACCUUGAAAUACCACCCUGAUUAUCUUAGAAUACUAACCUAGACCCGUAAUCCGGGUCAGGGACAUUGUCUGGUGGGUAGUUUGACUGGGGCGGUCGCCUCCUAAAAAGUAACGGAGGCGCGCGAAGGUUCCCUCAGGU
Molecule: ribosomal RNA, 2363 nt
Filed under: Desulfurivibrio sp.
Lineage: Bacteria; Pseudomonadati; Thermodesulfobacteriota; Desulfobulbia; Desulfobulbales; Desulfobulbaceae
Description: partial 23S ribosomal RNA
Rfam family: Bacterial large subunit ribosomal RNA
Source: RNAcentral